UCCGGACUGGUGUAACGGUUAACAUUUGUCGCUUUCAAAUCUUGGAAGAUCCGACAGGCUCGGGGUUCGAUUCCCCGGUUCGGAA
This 85-nucleotide transfer RNA is filed under the name Plectosphaerella plurivora. Its description in RNAcentral is "tRNA-Glu". It matches the Rfam family "tRNA". From Rfam's summary of the family: Transfer RNA (tRNA) molecules are approximately 80 nucleotides in length. Their secondary structure includes four short double-helical elements and three loops (D, anti-codon, and T loops). The record is from RNAcentral. Lineage: Eukaryota; Fungi; Ascomycota; Sordariomycetes; Glomerellales; Plectosphaerellaceae.